This is a long non-coding RNA of Nothoprocta perdicaria, 791 nucleotides long. RefSeq lists it as uncharacterized. NCBI's taxonomy places the organism in Eukaryota, Metazoa, Chordata, Aves, Tinamiformes, Tinamidae. The transcript is spliced from 3 exons. The record is from RefSeq and is a predicted model, not a curated record.
GUGUGUGUGUGUACACCCCAGAAACACACAUGUGCUGAUAGAAAACAGAUUUCAAAGGUACCUUGAAUAAUAGCUUUUUAAGACGGUGUUGCAGUCACAUAACUUGUUGGGAAAAGCACACCAUGGCUCACAAUCUGAAUUAAACAUGUGUCAUUGUGGCUAAGAAAAAAUCUACUACCUUCUACAAACCUGAUAUCUUGGACCAAAUCCUUCUCAGAACAGGUUGCCUGCUGCCCUUUUCAMAAUCAAGCUAUCAGAAGAUGCCCUUCAGCAGAAGUGUUAAAAGGACUUGGUGAGCUUAGCAUGUUUCGUCUGCUUAAUUUAAUUUGGAAAAAUUCAACCAGAAAAUGAAGUUAUUAACAGGUUGGUACAUUCAGAGAUAAGAUGAUGUCACAGGAAAGCAGUCAAGUGGGCUGCUUGUCAAAAUAUAAAAUAUGUAUCUGUCAGAAUCAAAUGAUAGAUAAGCUACGGCUGGGUGUAGGAUGCAGUGAAAAUAGUAUGCUAAAAAUUGAAACUGAAUCCCACCAGUCUGGAGCACAUGCUUUUAGUAACUAUUGUGGCGAUUGGAGCUAUAACAAUCCUGGGGACAUGAACUGCACGUUUUACGUGUAAGAUGUGCAAUUUCUUGCUGCUGGUACCCAAAAGCAACUGCCUCAACUGUAGACMUCAAACAGGCAAGGAGAGAUCUUGAAAGCAUGGAUGUUUCUACAAAUGACCAUGCUCAAAAUGCUGCUCAAAAUUGGGAUUAAUGAAUCUUUUCUUAGGUAACUUGGAGAUGUUUAAGGCCUUAA